GACUUCCUCUGCCUCUGCAACUUGUUUUAAAACAUCUCUGCAAGUGGCAACAUCUUACGACUCCAGUUCAGUGAGUUUUCAGUGGCUUUUGAAAGUCCAAACUGCUACAAACAUGUUUUCAAUCUGGAUUGUUAAAUAAUGCUGUCGUGUGGAGGUGAAGAACCAGAAUAUGUUCAUCUUUAUAUAGUCAAGCAUAUACCAAUAUGGGAGUGGCAGCACACCAACAUGACUGUGAGGAGAGGCCUCAUCUUCAUCACCUCUCUGUAUUAGCCUACCUGUGGGUCAGGAGCAUCUUGAYGUKUGACAGAACCUCAAAUAUUUCAGGCUGCACAGAAAAUAAUUCACUGUGCAAUGUGACACUGUUUCUGUCUUCUAAUGUUUAACUGGAUGAAACAACAUGGAGCCAGGAUAAAAUAAAGACAC
Austrofundulus limnaeus is the source of this 423-nucleotide long non-coding RNA. RefSeq lists it as uncharacterized. The record is from RefSeq and is a predicted model, not a curated record. NCBI's taxonomy places the organism in Eukaryota, Metazoa, Chordata, Actinopteri, Cyprinodontiformes, Rivulidae. The transcript has 3 exons.